RNAcentral lists this transfer RNA (73 nucleotides) under Candidatus Fibrimonadales bacterium. Its description in RNAcentral is "tRNA-Glu". It matches the Rfam family "tRNA". From Rfam's summary of the family: Transfer RNA (tRNA) molecules are approximately 80 nucleotides in length. Their secondary structure includes four short double-helical elements and three loops (D, anti-codon, and T loops). Lineage: Bacteria; Pseudomonadati; Fibrobacterota; Fibrobacteria; Candidatus Fibrimonadales. RNAcentral also lists the same sequence under 1 other name. The record is from RNAcentral.
GGCGCGUUCGUCUAGUGGCCUAGGACGCUGGCCUCUCACGCCGGUAACACGAGUUCGAGUCUCGUACGCGCUA